UAGGGAAUCUUCCACAAUGGACGAAAGUCUGAUGGAGCAACGCCGCGUGAGUGAUGAAGGUUUUCGGAUCGUAAAACUCUGUUGUAAGGGAAGAACCAGUACGUCAGGCAAUGGACGUACCUUGACGGUACCUUAUUAGAAAGCCACGGCUAACUACGUGCCAGCAGCCGCGGUAAUACGUAGGUGGCAAGCGUUGUCCGGAAUUAUUGGGCGUAAAGCGCGCGCAGGUGGUUUCUUAAGUCUGAUGUGAAAGCCCACGGCUUAACCGUGGAGGGUCAUUGGAAACUGGGAGACUUGAGUGCAGAAGAGGAAAGUGGAAUUCCAAGUGUAGCGGUGAAAUGCGUAGAGAUUUGGAGGAACACCAGUGGCGAAGGCGACUUUCUGGUCUGCAACUGACGCUGAGGCGCGAAAGCAUGGGGAGCAAACAGGAUUAGAUACCCUGGUAGUCCAUGCCGUAAACGAUGAGUGCUAAGUGUUAGGGGGUUUCCGCCCCUUAGUGCUGCAGCUAACGCAUUAAGCACUCCGCCUGGGGAGUACGACCGCAAGGUUG
This 550-nucleotide ribosomal RNA is filed under the name uncultured Bacillus sp. RNAcentral describes it as "bacterial SSU rRNA". It matches the Rfam family "Bacterial small subunit ribosomal RNA", at positions 355 to 896 of the family's 1533-position model. Lineage: Bacteria; Bacillati; Bacillota; Bacilli; Caryophanales; Bacillaceae. The record is from RNAcentral.